This 484-nucleotide ribosomal RNA is filed under the name uncultured bacterium. RNAcentral describes it as "partial 16S ribosomal RNA". It matches the Rfam family "Bacterial small subunit ribosomal RNA", at positions 30 to 507 of the family's 1533-position model. The record is from RNAcentral.
AUUGAACGCUAGCGGGAUGCUUUACACAUGCAAGUCGAACGACAGCGCGGAGUUCGGCCUGGCUGGGAUCGCCCAUCGGGUGAGUGAUGUAUCGGACCGUUCCCACUAGCGGGGGAUAACUACCCGACAGCCUCGCUAAUACCGCUUCCGCCCUGCGUGAAACAACAGGGCAUCUUCAUACCUUGUCCUAUUAGAGCGGCCGUUAGCGGAGUGGCUAAUUGGUGAGGUAACUGCUCACCAAGGCGACGAUCCGUAGCUGGUUUCAGAGGCAGAACAGCCACACUGGGACUGAGACACGGUCCAGACUCCUAAGGGAGGCAGCAGUGGGGAAUUUUGGACAAUGGAGGAAACCCUGAGCCAGCCCUCCCGCGUGUGCGAUGAAGGCCUUCGGGUUGUAAAGCAAUUUUGGAAGGAAAGAAACGUAGCGGGCUAAUACCGCGUGGAACUGACGGUACCUGCAGAAAAAGCACCGGCUAACUACGUG